ACAUCAAUAACCCCCAACACCCUUAACCAUCCCUAAACAAACCAUUUUCCCCCCUUAGUACAGGUGAUAGAAAAGGAACUGCGGAGCAACAGAAAAAGUACCGCAAGGGAAAGCUGAAAGA
Molecule: ribosomal RNA, 121 nt
Filed under: Lutjanus novemfasciatus (Pacific cubera snapper)
Lineage: Eukaryota; Metazoa; Chordata; Actinopteri; Lutjaniformes; Lutjanidae
Also listed under: 1 other name
Description: partial 16S ribosomal RNA
Source: RNAcentral